GAUGAACGCUGGCGGCGUGCCUAAUACAUGCAAGUCGAGCGAACAGAUGAGGAGCUUGCUCCUCCGACGUUAGCGGCGGACGGGUGAGUAACAUGUGGACAACCUACCUAUAAGACUGGGAUAACUUCGGGAAACCGGAGCUAAUACCGGAUAAUAUAUUGAACUGCAAGGUUCAAUAGUGAAAGACGGUUUUGCUGUCACUAAUAGAUGGAUCCGCGCCUCAUUAGUUUGUUGGCAAGGUAACGGAUUACCAAGGCAACGAGGCUGAAACGACCCGAGGGCGACGUCCGCCACCCGGUAUGUGAGGCACGGUCGCGACUCCUGCGGUGGGCCACGGUACGGACUCCUCCGGGAUGCGGCAGUGCCUAACGGUGCACCACCGCCUGAGUGAUGAAGGACCUCUGAUCGUUGAGCUCUGUUAUUCUUGAAGUUCAAAUGUGUAAGUAACUAUGCACGUCUUGACGGUACCUGGUGAGAAAGCCCCGGCUAACUCCGUG
Molecule: ribosomal RNA, 497 nt
Filed under: uncultured bacterium
Lineage: Bacteria
Description: partial 16S ribosomal RNA
Rfam family: Bacterial small subunit ribosomal RNA
Source: RNAcentral